GAUGAAGAACGCAGCGAAAUGCGAUAAGUAAUGUGAAUUGCAGAAUUCAGUGAAUCAUCGAAUCUUUGAACGCACAUUGCGCCCGCCAGUAUUCUGGCGGGCAUGCCUGUUCGAGCGUCAUUUCAACCAUCAAGCCCCAGGCUUGUGUUGGGGACCUGCGGCUGCCGCAGGCCCUGAAAACCAGUGGCGGGCUCGCUGUCACACCGGGCGUAGUAGAUUUUAUCUCGCUCAGGGCGUGCUGCGGGUCCCGGCCGUUAAAAGCCUUUUUUUACCCAAGGUUGACCUCGGAUCAGGUAGGAAGACCCGCUGAACUUAAGAAUAUCAAUAAGCGGAGGA
RNAcentral lists this unclassified non-coding RNA (336 nucleotides) under soil metagenome. RNAcentral describes it as "partial contains 5.8S ribosomal RNA, internal transcribed spacer 2, and large subunit ribosomal RNA". The stretch from base 1 to 120 matches the Rfam family "5.8S ribosomal RNA", at positions 35 to 154 of the family's 154-position model. The record is from RNAcentral.